UAUAAUCAGUAUUUUAUUGGAAGCCCGGAUCCCAUAUUUAUUUAUUUUUUCAUCUACUUGAAUCUCAUCAUUUAAGUUUUAAUUAGUUGAAAUGUAAGAUUAAUUUAGGCGGUUGAUAGGGGUUCUUGUAAUAAUAGCUAGUGCUAUGUAGUUAGCUUCAUUUAUUUGGAUAUCCUCUACAAAUAUACAAAUAGGCAUGCACUACCUCUGCUAUAGGAUAUUUGCUAUCAGCUAGUGUUGGUUCAAAAUUUAGGACACUUUGCAAAAAGUCAAUAGUUUUAAAUUCUUCUUUUCUGCAAAUGCCCUUAUUAAUUGUAUUAUAGAGAGAGAUUAUAUAAGAAAGAAUUUGAAGGUAAUUAAGAUUGUUAUUAAUUGGGGGGUAAUCUUAGAAAGUAGGGAUAAUUUUUUAUCAUUUCAAUGAUUCAAUCCAUCCACUUUUAACUACUUCUCUUGGUUCAUGUGAAGUAAUUACAAGUAUCCUAUAUUUUGGACUGCAAGGAGUAUGUUAUUAUGUCCUUCUUUGAAAUUCACAUAUAUAUUUUAUUGUCAAACAAUGAAAUUUUUAAAUGGUAUUAGAGCCAUGGGACCUAAUCUUUCCAAAUGUCCAAAAUCUAGCUCAGGAGAAAACGUUAUGGUGGUUCUAACUGAGCCUUGUCUAGUUUCUGGACAACAAAAAUAAGUGGAGAAUUAAUUUCAAGAUUUGUAUCGCUUUUAUCCAGUUUACCUUGCAAUUCGUAUCUUAUUCAUGUUGCUAAGUUUUACGUUGCUGGCUGUCUUGGGAUUUGGAUGCAUUAAGGUAAUUUGCAAUGAUAGAGGUUCAUGAGCUAUAUCUCCUUGAUGGAGCUGGGAUUCUGGAAUAAUUGAUUCAUGCUACUAAUGCUACUCCUCUUUAGUGAAACCGCGCUGUGGCACUAGGUCAGGGCAGCCCAAAUUUCUUUUCUAUCUUUCUUUUAUCCUUUUCUUUUUCUUUUUCUUUUCUUCUGUUUUGUUUUUGAUUACUAGGGCCCCAACUUUCAGUACAUGAAAUGAGUAUAUUCAGAAUUAUGCAAAAACAAAUAAUAUUAUUUUCCAAUGUGAAGUAUCCCAACUUUCCAAGCACACGAAAAUUUCUAUCCUUCACACGAAGACAUACCCCUUUGGUUUAAUUCAUUUUAAUUUAUAUGGGACCAGAUGGUUUAUUACCUUUGAUAAUAAUACAAGACUUUAGACUUACCUUGGUUUACCUCAUGAGGGAGAAAUAGAGAACACCAGAUUUUCAAACAAUUCACUGCCUUUGAUCUAAAACAAUUUCAAGCUAAAAGACUCCAAGGUCUGGCAAUGUUAAAGAUUGUAUCAGCAAACCUUGUUGACCGUCUUACCUAGCAAGGGAUUGUCCGCUGAAGUUUGUGUUGAUACCCCCACCAACAAAAUGAAGUGGUUUAGUGAAAAGAUACUCCUAGAUCUCUAAUGAUUAUCACCAAUGUUCUUAAAUACUGUUGGGGACAGGCCAUUCUCACUAGUCACUGGCAUAUACCUUGUCAAUAGAAUGUCAUGUAAAACCAUAGAAUUCUAAACUCCUUAUUAGAAACUUAUUACAGCCCAGCCCAAAAUAUUAAGAAACUACAGAGUAAUGAAUGCAAAGAAGACAAUGAACGGGGAAAUACUCAGGUUUUGCUAUUAAUGCUUGAAGAACCAAAUUAGCAUUACAAAAGGAGCAGUAGUGAUUCUGGCCAAAACCCUGUUCCCACUACACCAUACAAGGAAAAUAAAACAGAACAGAACAAGAAGGUUGUUUGCUGUUGUUUGAGGGACCAGUACUCUUUUCGCUGCUUUCUAAUGUCACAAAAACAUAACUGAGAGCACCCAAAACCAGAUACAAAGUAUUAGCAGCAGCCAAAAAUUGACUCACAUGGCUAGCCUGAGUCUAAAGCCACUCUAUUGUAUUAUUGCCUAUCCCUUGUAACCUAGACCUGUAGGAUAAUGACCUGAACCUGUCACAUCUUUCUGCCCUAACCCUUGUUUUUCCUUCAUUUCCUUUUAUAUGUUUGAGUAAAACCAGCAGCUAUAUCAAAACUCCUUACAUUUCUUCAAACUAUUCAAACAUUGAAGAAAUACUAUAUAAAAUUGUGUAACAAUUAUAUUUAACAGAUGAUUACAUUAAAUCAUUGUAGAAUGUUCACCAAAAUUUGACAUGAUGGUAAAAUUUCUAGUUUGGUUUUGUUUAUUGAUGACAUUGUUGUUACAAAUGAUUAAAUUGAUGACAUGAUAGAGCCCUCUACUCUAACAAGCUUAAAACAAGCAAAAACCAGAAAAUAGGCUACAAAUGGGACUGAAAAUACUGUUGCUGAAUAAUUAAGUUGGAUUACAAGGGAAAUAAUGUGUAAUGACUCAAGUCAAUCCUAUAUCCCUCAUACAUCCUGAUACAGAGGUUACAAAAACAUAACAAAAUACAAGGACAAAACAAAAUACACAGACAAGGCAGUGCUUCUGGCUUUCAAGAGGCCCAUCUCUCCCAAUCCUCACUUUUCUUCAAAAGACUGAACUCCUCUCUCUCUGGCUGAAUCAGAGAAUCUAAAACCCAAGAAGUUAUGAAAUCACUGCCACUACCCUUAGCUGCAUCUAAUCCCUACUCCUGUAACACUUCUUUCCCCUUACGGCCACAACCCAUUGAUAGAAAAUAUGGCAGAUGUUAUUCUAGAAAGAAAUAAUUGUUUUUUUGCAUUAUUUAGUAUUUUGUAAGUUUCCUUAUAAGGAAGGAAAUCUGACUUGCUUUUGCUUUUAUUCUUUAUAUAUUUUAAUUUGCAAGUUGGUUGAGCUUGCUUAAGGGGAAGGAAAGCUUAGUCUAUAAAUAGACUAAGUUAUCACUUGUACUGGACGCUUUUGAAUGAGGAAUGAAUAUUAGAAUCUGAAAGCUCUCUCUUUCUCUCUCCCCUCUUCAUCCGCCUCCUUCCCCCUCCACUGCUCUGCCUUCAUCUUCUCAUUUCUUCUUCUCUCUGUAUUCUAUCUUUCUCUCCCUCUCUAAUCUCGAUCUCCCACUCUGUUUCUGCUAUGUCUCUCUUUUCCAACUUUGUUCAAAUCAAUAUGAGCGUGUGUGUGUGUGUGUGUUUUGCAUCAACUUGGUAUCAGAGCAAGGCUUUGAACGUUCCUAGACUGUUUUCGCGGCUGGAGAUCAGAGAAAACUCACAGGGAAGCUCAGCAUACUCUGUGUUCACGCUGCCAGCGCCCAGAGCCACUUUUGUCGACGUCAGAUUCGAAAACGGACGCCACCAUUGUGCUCAGGAGGAGAAAUCCGCUCAGAACGAGAAAAACCACCUCCGCCUACAGGCACACGCGCCAGAGGAGUUUUUGCUCGUGGUCAUCGCACGCCUCACACGCUGUCGCAUGCACCGUCCGUAUAGUUUCACCAGGACCUGAUUUUCAGCGUUUUCUUGCGUUUUCACGAAAUUUCUUCAACUCUGAAGAAGCUGAGGGGCACAAGUCAUCGUUUAAAACUUAUUUGGGGGUAAAACUUUUUGUUUUAUGCUCCUAAAGCAACGCUGGUACUUAGCCUUCACAGGUGCCAAUUCCAUCAUUGCCUGCUGUCUCACCAUCAGUUGACGAAAUUGAGACCAUUAUGGAUGAUCAAAUGGUCUUUACCUCUAAAGGGCCCCUCCGUCGUUAUUUGGUUUGUUGUAGAGGUCGAUUUGAUGAAGAUGUCACCUGGAUUUCAGAAGAUGAAUUCCAACAACUUAAUCCGGCCUUGCUAGAAGCCUAACAACUCUCUACCUCUCCGGAGGAGAGUUCUUUGCAGCAGGGAGAAUUGAUAGAAAAUAUGGCAGAUGUUAUUUUAGGAAGAAAUAAUUGUUUUUUUGCAUUAUUUAGUAUUUUGUAAGUUUCCUUCUAAGGAAGGAAAUCUGACUUACUUUUGCUUUUACUCCUUAUAUAUUUUAAUUUGCAAGUUGUUGGGCUUGCUUAAGGGGAAGGAAAGCUUAGUUUAUAAAUAGAUUAAGUUAUCACUUGUACUGGAUACUUUUGAAUGAGGAAUGAAUAUUAGAA
Prosopis cineraria is the source of this 4014-nucleotide long non-coding RNA. RefSeq lists it as uncharacterized. Lineage: Eukaryota; Viridiplantae; Streptophyta; Magnoliopsida; Fabales; Fabaceae. The record is from RefSeq and is a predicted model, not a curated record. The transcript is spliced from 2 exons.